UACCUAGGUGACCAGCGUUGUCCGGAUUUACUGGGCGUAAAGAGCGCGCAGGCGGUCGUUCAAGUCGAGUGUGAAAGCCCCCGGCUCAACUGGGGAGGGUCACUCGAUACUGAUCGACUUGAAGGCAGGAGAGGGAAGCGGAAUUCCCGGUGUAGUGGUGAAAUGCGUAGAUAUCGGGAGGAACACCAGUGGCGAAGGCGGCUUCCUGGCCUGUUCUUGACGCUGAGGCGCGAAAGCUAGUGGAGCAAACGGG
RNAcentral lists this ribosomal RNA (253 nucleotides) under uncultured bacterium. RNAcentral describes it as "partial 16S ribosomal RNA". It matches the Rfam family "Bacterial small subunit ribosomal RNA", at positions 524 to 776 of the family's 1533-position model. The record is from RNAcentral.